CGCUCUUCGUUAUGAUUAGUGAAGAUGAAGAGUCGGACCUGCCCAGUGACAUACGUGUUAAACGGCCGCGGUACUCUGACCGUGCAAAGGUAGCAUAAUCACUUGCCUUUUAAUUGAAGGCUUGUAUGAAUGGUUUGACGAGAGCUAAGCUGUCUCUUUUUAAAUAUUUAGAAAUUAAUUUAUAGGUGAAGAGGCCUAUAUGAAUUUGAGGGACAAGAAGACCCUGUUGAGUUUAAGUAUAGUUAAAAAUUAAUAUACAUAUCCAUUAGGAUUAUGAAUUGAUUAUAUAUAGUAGAGAUUGAGUUUUUGGUUAAUCUUUAGUUGGGGCGACUAAGGAGCAUAAUAAGCUUCCUUUAAUAUAUAUUAUGUUGACGAAUUAAUUUGAUCCAAUUUUUAUUGAUCAAAGGAAAAAAUUACCACAGGGAUAACAGCGUAAUCUUUUUGGAGAGUUCUUAUCGAAAAAAGGGUUUGCGACCUCGAUGUUGGACUAAGAUAUCCUAAAGGUGUAGAAGCUUUUAAGGGUUGGUCUGUUCGACC
Molecule: ribosomal RNA, 537 nt
Filed under: Suavotrochus sp. LS-2013
Lineage: Eukaryota; Metazoa; Mollusca; Gastropoda; Trochida; Solariellidae
Description: partial 16S ribosomal RNA
Rfam family: Bacterial large subunit ribosomal RNA
Source: RNAcentral